Molecule: ribosomal RNA, 952 nt
Filed under: Faucicola osloensis
Lineage: Bacteria; Pseudomonadati; Pseudomonadota; Gammaproteobacteria; Moraxellales; Moraxellaceae
Description: bacterial SSU rRNA
Rfam family: Bacterial small subunit ribosomal RNA
Source: RNAcentral
UGGCGGCAGGCUUAACACAUGCAAGUCGAACGAUGACUCUCUAGCUUGCUAGAGAUGAUUAGUGGCGGACGGGUGAGUAACAUUUAGGAAUCUGCCUAGUAGUGGGGGAUAGCUCGGGGAAACUCGAAUUAAUACCGCAUACGACCUACGGGUGAAAGGGGGCGCAAGCUCUUGCUAUUAGAUGAGCCUAAAUCAGAUUAGCUAGUUGGUGGGGUAAAGGCCCACCAAGGCGACGAUCUGUAACUGGUCUGAGAGGAUGAUCAGUCACACCGGAACUGAGACACGGUCCGGACUCCUACGGGAGGCAGCAGUGGGGAAUAUUGGACAAUGGGGGCAACCCUGAUCCAGCCAUGCCGCGUGUGUGAAGAAGGCCUUUUGGUUGUAAAGCACUUUAAGCAGGGAGGAGAGGCUAAUGGUUAAUACCCAUUAGAUUAGACGUUACCUGCAGAAUAAGCACCGGCUAACUCUGUGCCAGCAGCCGCGGUAAUACAGAGGGUGCGAGCGUUAAUCGGAAUUACUGGGCGUAAAGCGAGUGUAGGUGGCUCAUUAAGUCACAUGUGAAAUCCCCGGGCUUAACCUGGGAACUGCAUGUGAUACUGGUGGUGCUAGAAUAUGUGAGAGGGAAGUAGAAUUCCAGGUGUAGCGGUGAAAUGCGUAGAGAUCUGGAGGAAUACCGAUGGCGAAGGCAGCUUCCUGGCAUAAUAUUGACACUGAGAUUCGAAAGCGUGGGUAGCAAACAGGAUUAGAUACCCUGGUAGUCCACGCCGUAAACGAUGUCUACUAGCCGUUGGGGUCCUUGAGACUUUAGUGGCGCAGUUAACGCGAUAAGUAGACCGCCUGGGGAGUACGGCCGCAAGGUUAAAACUCAAAUGAAUUGACGGGGGCCCGCACAAGCGGUGGAGCAUGUGGUUUAAUUCGAUGCAACGCGAAGAACCUUACCUGGUCUUGACAU